AACCGCUGCCAAAUGAGACAGCCUCUGCCGGCGCAGCUGAAACUUUUUACAGCCUCCCCUCAUUUCGACAGGAAGAGACACAGGGAGCAAAUUUGUAGGAGAGGGAGAAAAAAAAAGGGCGAAAUAAAUCUUUGUAGCGUCUGCAACUAAGGCACUGCGUCAAGGAUUUCCUUCUGUACUUUCACGCUCCCCUACUUUGGCAAGGUGCCAUUCGAAAAGGUUUAAAAGUGAUCUCUCUCUCUGCAGGGAGUAUUGAACGGGGGAACGGAUGUGCUAGGAAGUGAAGAGUUCACCGAGUUCAGUAAAUGAAAAAUAUGUAAAUGCAUCAAUAACAAAGGGACUGUGACGUCACGCACUGUGCUGCCCAGGACAGUGCCUGCGAGUAGACGGGACAAGCGUGCGCACAUCUGACAAGAUGCCAUCUGCGUACCAUAAAGAGGAUGCCUGUUUUACAUCAGAACUUUCUUGCACAGGAAGAUGACCAUGUGAAUUCUGUUGCUGCAACGACUGACACGUUGUAGUAACUUCCUCUUUCACGGUAAGGACUUGACAAACUUUUAGUGACUGCAAACUCCACUGCAAACUGCGAUAGCAUCUCCAGUGCGUAUUUUGAUACCAUUUUGCCACUCUUGACUAAAUGACUGCAUGCAAAGUGCAACUUGGACGAUGAUGUCAAACACAUGGCGAGUCAUAAAACCAAAUGAAUCAGGCAAGUGGGAUCAGCCAACUGUGGUGUUUUUCAAGGUUCUUUGAGGAAGUACUGCGGACCACUCAUGUUUUCCUGAUAAAGAGAUACAAAACGCAGGCAGUGAUAGAACAGCCUCUGGAUGUGUAUAAUGAUUAGCGAGGACUAUAACUGGACGGCUCAAACUACCUGGGACAGAUGCCAAAUGCUGACAAAGGCAAUCAUUGCAUUCUCAGGGGCGAGCAAAAUCAACUCUUCGUCCUCUCGCACUUCUUUUGGGAGGGUUAUUUAUAUUACUCGAGAAACCACCGAAACCAUUGACUAAUUGCUGAAGGAGUCGGUCACAUGUUUUGGCUAAAGGGCACAACCCCCCCCAAAAAAAAAAAAAAAAAUCAUGUAAGUAUCGACCAGUUCUGACUCUUUCUCGCCUCUUCUGUCGGGACCCGCUCGGCCGAUCAAGUUUUUCCUUUAAAUAAUCAAUUCUGACCGCUUAUUUUCCAGACGUCUGCUUGGAAUAACUUUGACUGGGGCAGAUGGGUUCAAGCUGACUCUCUUGCAUUCCCAUAAAUACAAGUUUAUCAUGCUAGUCUAGCAAAAGCUAGUCUGCUUUUUCUGCAUGGCAAACCCUCUCUUCUUGAUCUCUGCGUUCUUUUUCAUUUCUCAGUCCCUUUCUUUCUCCACCUCCUCUCUCGCUCUCUCAGCUUCUGUCUUUCUCUUCGCAUCCUGUGCCAAAGUGGGCAGGGAGAAAGAGCUCGUGGUGAGGCGGGUGAAGCGGAGGCCGCUGUACGUGCUCUUUCUUCAGCCACAACCCCAUGGAAGAGCAUGUUUGGUGGCAGCACAUAGGUCUCUCUCCCCGAGAUAGGCGUACUAUGUGCACGAGUCUACCUCUUCUCGCCGCCAUGACCCUGCCUUGUGUUCUUUGACGUUGAAGCCUCUAGUCUGCAGAGACGCAGCCUCUGUCCCAAAACCCAUUGAGCCGCCUACCUAGGGAGCGUUUUAAGACAUCAUAGGUGCACUCCCAACUUGAAGGUGGUUCCAAAAGGAAUGAAUCCUGCGGUCUGCUGUCUGACUGGUUGACGUCUGUUCUGCUGUCCUUGGGGCUGAGGUAGUAGAUUGAAUAGUUGUGGAGCACGGUGCUCUCUCACUGAGAUAACUAUACAAUCUACUGUCUUUCCUAAGGCGACAGCCAAAUCAUCCACAAACAACGACGUGGACCCGUUUGAGAUAACCACCUCGCACGCUUCCUGCAGUCUGCAGUCGUCCAAUGACUCGGAAAGGAUAUUCAAUCAUAUUACAGAAGUAAAAUGGGUUGCGAUUGAUUUUUCACGUUCACAAGUGUGUCGUAGGAUUUGCAUUUUGGUGUCUGGACAGGGUGAGGUAGUAGGUUGUAUAGUUUGGUGGAAGGGAUCAAACCCUGUUCAGGUGAUAACUAUACAGUCUAUUGCCUUCCUUGUGGUACCAACUAUCGGCCCACUAGCUGAAACUCACUGAAAUUUGUAGUUAGAAUAUAGUUAGAGUUAUCAUUCUUGGUGUGAACGGGACUUUAAAGCUGCAUGUUUGUGUGCAUUGCCUAACAUUUUACCUAACAAGCCUGAACAACAUCUGUGUGUCUGAUGCAAGCUUAACAUGCUGAUCUAGAAUGACAAAUCAGAUUAAAUGAGAUUUACUGAGCUCGGAUUUAUGGCUUUAUCAAUAAUUUAGCUUUUCUGUUGGCUUGUGAUCAAACACUUUUCACACAUCAUAACAGGAAAUUCAGUUUCAAUCAGACAAUAUAUAUGGCCUUGUUCUGUGAAUGAAUGUCACAAUGUCCAUUAUAUGUUCUUGUUCUGUGAAUAAAUGAGUUUGAUUCUCAACACA
Molecule: long non-coding RNA, 2542 nt
Organism: Pimephales promelas (fathead minnow)
Lineage: Eukaryota; Metazoa; Chordata; Actinopteri; Cypriniformes; Leuciscidae
Source: RefSeq, a predicted model, not a curated record